UACGGGGGGGGCAAGCGUUGUUCGGAAUUACUGGGCGUAAAGGGCUCGUAGGCGGCCAACUAAGUCGGAUGUGAAAUCCCCAGGCUCAACUUGGGAACUGCAUCCGAUACUGGAUGGCUUGAAUUCGGGAGAGGGAUGCAGAAUUCCAGGUGUAGCGGUGAAAUGCGUAGAUAUCUGGAGGAACACCGGUGGCGAAGGCGGCAUCCUGGACCGACACUGACGCUGAUGAGCGAAAGCCAGGGGAGCAAACGGG
Molecule: ribosomal RNA, 253 nt
Filed under: uncultured bacterium
Lineage: Bacteria
Description: partial 16S ribosomal RNA
Rfam family: Bacterial small subunit ribosomal RNA
Source: RNAcentral